Molecule: ribosomal RNA, 465 nt
Filed under: uncultured bacterium
Lineage: Bacteria
Description: partial 16S ribosomal RNA
Rfam family: Bacterial small subunit ribosomal RNA
Source: RNAcentral
GACGAACGCUGGCGGCGUGCUUAACACAUGCAAGUCGUACGGUAAGGCCCUUUCGGGGGUACACGAGUGGCGAACGGGUGAGUAACACGUGAGUAACCUGCCCACAACUUUGGGAUAACGCUAGGAAACUGGUGCUAAUACUGGAUAUGUGCUCCUGCUGCAUGGUGGGGGUUGGAAAGCUCCGGCGGUUGUGGAUGGACUCGCGGCCUAUCAGCUUGUUGGUGGGGUAGUGGCCUACCAAGGCGGCGACGGGUAGCCGGCCUGAGAGGGUGACCGGCCACAUUGGGACUGAGAGACGGCCCAGACUCCUACGGGAGGCAGCAGUGGGGAAUAUUGCACAAUGGGCGCAAGCCUGAUGCAGCAACGCCGCGUGCGGGAUGACGGUCUUCGGGUUGUAAACCGCUUUCAGCAGGGACGAAGCUUUUUGUGACGGUACCUGCAGAAGAAGCACCGGCUAACUACGUG